RNAcentral lists this ribosomal RNA (275 nucleotides) under uncultured bacterium. RNAcentral's name for it is "partial 16S ribosomal RNA". It matches the Rfam family "Bacterial small subunit ribosomal RNA", at positions 338 to 630 of the family's 1533-position model. The record is from RNAcentral.
CCUACGGGUGGCUGCAAUCAGGGAUCUUGCACAAUGAGCGAAAGCUAGAUGCAGCGACGCCGCGUGGACGAGGAAGUCCUUCGGGAUGUAAAGUCCUUUUCGGAGGGAAGAUGAUGACGGUACCUCCGGAAUAAGCCCCGGCUAACUACGUGCCAGCAGCCGCGGUAAUACGUAGGGGGCGAGCGUUGUCCGGAUUUAUUGGGCGUAAAGGGCGCGCAGGCGGCCAUUUAAGUUCGUGGUGAAAGACCGGGGCUCAACCCCGGAGUGUCCGCGAA